UACGGAGGGCGCGAACGUUGUUCGGAGUCAUUGGGCGUAAAGCGCGUGUAGGCGGCUUGGUAAGUCGAGUGUGAAAGCCCCGGGCUCAACCCCGGAAGGUCGCUCGAAACUGCCUGGCUAGAGUCCCGGAGAGGAAGGCGGAAUUCCCGGUGUAGAGGUGAAAUUCGUAGAUAUCGGGAGGAACACCAGCGGCGAAGGCGGCCUUCUGGACGGUGACUGACGCUGAGACGCGAAAGCGUGGGGAGCAAACAGG
RNAcentral lists this ribosomal RNA (253 nucleotides) under uncultured bacterium. Its description in RNAcentral is "partial 16S ribosomal RNA". It matches the Rfam family "Bacterial small subunit ribosomal RNA", at positions 524 to 776 of the family's 1533-position model. The record is from RNAcentral.